UACGUAGGGUGCAAACGUUGUUCGGAAUCACUGGGCAUAAAGAGCGCGUAGGCGGUCUGACAAGUCCCCUGUGAAAGCCCCCGGCUUAACCGGGGAACUGCAUGGGAUACUGUUGGGCUAGAGUGCAGGAGGGGAGAGCGGAAUUCCUGGUGGAGCGGUGAAAUGCGUAGAUAUCAGGAGGAACACCGGUGGUGUAGACGGCUUUCUGGACCGUAACUGACGCUGAGACACGAAAGCGUGGGUAGCAAACAGG
RNAcentral lists this ribosomal RNA (253 nucleotides) under uncultured bacterium. Its description in RNAcentral is "partial 16S ribosomal RNA". It matches the Rfam family "Bacterial small subunit ribosomal RNA", at positions 524 to 776 of the family's 1533-position model. The record is from RNAcentral.